GUCUUCAAAUGCUCUGAUUGAUUUUCCGGUUUGGAAUUUUGUGCAACCAAUUCGGAUUUGAGGUUGUGAUAACUUGAUCACUUGAUCAAUAUAAGAUGUCUCCAGCCAAUUUGGAUUUGGAUUUGAGGUUCUCUAUUAAUCCUGGAAAUUUCUCUUCUCAAUCCUGGAAAUUCCAAUACUAUUCAUACAAACUGAACAAAAUAAGCUUAAUGUAGAGAAAGAGAGGUCAUAUAUGAAAGGACAGUUUGCAGUAAUGUUUAGUUUGAGAUUGUUUUGUUGAUUUACUUGCACACUGUACAGCUGCAUAAAUUAUUUCAAGCCUACCAUGCUCAUCUGUUUUUAACCUAGCCUUCCUUAUUAUGAUUGGAGAUCAAAAUUUGUAGAAUCUGUGAUUAUUUACUAUGAAACACAAACAUACAAAUUAGACUUAGUUCGGUUAAAAACAAGUUAUGAAAUAGAUUGCUCAUUUCAUUAUGUGUACUCUUACUGUGAAAUAGAUUGCUCAUUUCAUAAUAAGUAAACUCAGCUUUAGUAGGAGUUUAAAGCCUUAGAUGUUGUAUUCAUUUUUCAACUUCCCCGAUUUCCGGUUUACUUUCUGUAGAAUAUGAUUGGUUUUGUUUAUUACCUGUUUGUUUGUACUGCAUUUUUUGUUCCUUUCUGAGUUGAGUGUAUUACUGUGGCUAUCUCUUGAUGGUUUUUGUGUGUUGUUGAUAACUUGCUUCAUGAAGCCACUAGGAAUCUAGAAAGUUUGAUAUUUUUCCCCCAGACCCUUAGAAGCAAGAAAGAUAUUCAAGGGAGGCUUGACAAAGAAGUUCUUUGCUUUGCUCAACUCACCAGCAUUGGUAAGUACUCAUUGAAUUGAGUCACGAUCCUCUUUAAUAUUUUCAUUUCAAUCCUUAUGAUUUAGUUUAUUACUAAGCCUAAUAGUUUACUUAGGUUCAUGUAACUGCAAAUUUUACCCUUUUUUUAUUUUUAUUU
RNAcentral lists this long non-coding RNA (978 nucleotides) under Rosa chinensis. RNAcentral describes it as "sRNA RchiOBHm_Chr2g0144251". The record is from RNAcentral. Lineage: Eukaryota; Viridiplantae; Streptophyta; Magnoliopsida; Rosales; Rosaceae.